RNAcentral lists this transfer RNA (83 nucleotides) under Candidatus Woesebacteria bacterium. RNAcentral describes it as "tRNA-Leu". It matches the Rfam family "tRNA". Rfam says of the family: Transfer RNA (tRNA) molecules are approximately 80 nucleotides in length. Their secondary structure includes four short double-helical elements and three loops (D, anti-codon, and T loops). The record is from RNAcentral. Lineage: Bacteria; Candidatus Woeseibacteriota.
GCCGCGGUGGCGGAACUGGCAGACGCGCACGUUUCAGGGACGUGUUCCUUUUAGGAUUGGAGGUUCGACUCCUCUCCGCGGCA